This 76-nucleotide transfer RNA is filed under the name Methanobacteriota archaeon. Its description in RNAcentral is "Euryarchaeota archaeon tRNA-Met". It matches the Rfam family "tRNA". From Rfam's summary of the family: Transfer RNA (tRNA) molecules are approximately 80 nucleotides in length. Their secondary structure includes four short double-helical elements and three loops (D, anti-codon, and T loops). Further hydrogen bonds mediate the characteristic L-shaped molecular structure. tRNAs have two regions of fundamental functional importance: the anti-codon, which is responsible for specific mRNA codon recognition, and the 3' end, to which the tRNAs corresponding amino acid is attached (by aminoacyl-tRNA synthetases). tRNAs cope with the degeneracy of the genetic code in two manners: having more than one tRNA (with a specific anti-codon) for a particular amino acid; and 'wobble' base-pairing, i.e. permitting non-standard base-pairing at the 3rd anti-codon position. The record is from RNAcentral. RNAcentral also lists the same sequence under 4 other names. Lineage: Archaea; Methanobacteriati; Methanobacteriota.
GCCGGGGUGGCGUAGUUGGUAGCGCGUCGGACUCAUAAUCCGAAGGUCGCGGGUUCAAGCCCCGCUCCCGGCACCA